RNAcentral lists this ribosomal RNA (351 nucleotides) under uncultured Tenacibaculum sp. RNAcentral describes it as "bacterial SSU rRNA". It matches the Rfam family "Bacterial small subunit ribosomal RNA", at positions 377 to 725 of the family's 1533-position model. Lineage: Bacteria; Pseudomonadati; Bacteroidota; Flavobacteriia; Flavobacteriales; Flavobacteriaceae. The record is from RNAcentral.
GCAACUCUGAACCAGCCAUGCCGCGUGCAGGAAGACUGCCCUAUGGGUUGUAAACUGCUUUUAUACAGGAAGAAACAGUGGUACGUGUACCACCUUGACGGUACUGUAAGAAUAAGGACCGGCUAACUCCGUGCCAGCAGCCGCGGUAAUACGGAGGGUGCAAGCGUUAUCCGGAAUCAUUGGGUUUAAAGGGUCCGCAGGCGGUCAAUUAAGUCAGAGGUGAAAUCCCAUAGCUUAACUAUGGAACUGCCUUUGAUACUGGUUGACUUGAGUUAUACGGAAGUAGAUAGAAUAAGUAGUGUAGCGGUGAAAUGCAUAGAUAUUACUUAGAAUACCGAUUGCGAAGGCAGA